Molecule: long non-coding RNA, 1301 nt
Organism: Herpailurus yagouaroundi (jaguarundi)
Lineage: Eukaryota; Metazoa; Chordata; Mammalia; Carnivora; Felidae
Exons: 3
Source: RefSeq, a predicted model, not a curated record
GUGUGUGUGUGUGUGCGCGUGCGCGCGUGCGCACACACACGCACACGCGCGCAUAUGCCUUAACAAAGUUAAGGUUGUAUCAGAAAGAAGGAAGAAGGAAAUGGAUGCAGGGGAGGGAACCUACAACAUCCAUUACUUGCUUUCCCGUACAGUCUCCAGCUGCCCAUUUGGGAUUUUGAAUUCCAACGAGCCCGUGGAAGGUUAGUCCCUAAUCACCCUAGAUUGUAGCCCUGUGACACCUCAGGACUUCCACGACAGGACAUUUUCCUGGUGCUAAUUUACCAUAAAAAAACAGUGAAGAGACAUAAAAAGUGGACUUUUUUUUUUUUUUUUUUUUUGAUGAUGAUAAAAGCAAGACAUUAUUCUACGGAUGCCAGAAGGUAGAAAUAACUUUUUCAAGAAAUCUGGCCAUGAACAGGAGGAAGGAGUGCGUCGCAGGCAGGUGGGGUCUGCCUAAACACAGAUGAGAGAGUUUGGGCAGCUCGCUGGACCCAGAAGCAGCAGCUGGUCCUGAAGGAGAGGGCAGGAUGAGGAAUUCUGAUGAAUGCCUUUUCAAAGAACACCCAGCCCUGAAGUCAAACACCCUGCACUGCACGUUCACGGUGACGUUUAGCAUUUCCAUCCCAUUUGCUCAUGGCCUUGCUCAAUGGGCGGACUUUCCUUAACAUUCAAGGAAAUGGCCCCAAAGGGGCCACAGGGAACUCCCAGCCUUUCGUGGACAUCGCAGAAAUGGCAACUACGCGCGGACUCACACCUGGGACCCGCAGUGCUGCUGGGUCAUGCCUACUUCUCUGUCUUGCUGCUUCGCUAGAAGUCCAGCAGCGUCCCUGUUGAAGCCACGACGCCUGUGCUACAAGAAAGAGAGCACGGAACGGCGAGGGGCAGAGAGCGAGACCAAAGCACUGAGAGCAGAGACCCCUUCGUGGGGAUCGAACUUACACACCAUGAGAUCAUGACCUGAGCCGAAGUCGGAUGCGUAACAGACUGAGCCACCCAGGCGUCCCCACUCUCUGUCUCCUUGUCCUGCUUAUGUGCACCUAGAAUAGCCUCUCCUACGUCGCAGAUCUCAGAAUAUAGUUCUCCUCCGGCGGCGUUAGUGUCCUCACGCUCAUGACAGGUUCACACAGGCCUGUCUGCACCUGUGUCCUCAGCUCUGUCUUCACCUGGAUUUGUUCUCGUCGUCGGGCGUUGUCCUCAUCUCUUUUUUCAGAGUCUACUUUUACAAAAUGCAGAGAGAACAGAAAACAGAUGCUUUCCAAAAAUGUAUGUAUGUUUCCUAUAAAAAGAAAUCUUAAAAUGCA